UACAGAGGGUGCGAGCGUUGUCCGGAAUCACUGGGCGUAAAGGGCGCGUAGGUGGUGGCUUAAGCGUGCGGUGAAAGCUCGGGGGCUCAACUCCGAGUCGGCCGUGCGAACUGGGCUCACUGGAGCAUAGUAGAGGCAGGUGGAAUUCCGGGUGUAGCGGUGGGAAUGCGUAGAGAAUCCGGAAGAACACCGGGUGGCGAAAGGCGGCCUCCUGGGGCUAUGGGCUGACACUGAGGCGCGACAG
RNAcentral lists this ribosomal RNA (244 nucleotides) under uncultured bacterium. RNAcentral's name for it is "partial 16S ribosomal RNA". It matches the Rfam family "Bacterial small subunit ribosomal RNA", at positions 524 to 759 of the family's 1533-position model. The record is from RNAcentral.